Molecule: ribosomal RNA, 253 nt
Filed under: uncultured bacterium
Lineage: Bacteria
Description: partial 16S ribosomal RNA
Rfam family: Bacterial small subunit ribosomal RNA
Source: RNAcentral
UACGUAGGGUGCAAGCGUUAAUCGGAAUUACUGGGCGUAAAGCGUGCGCAGGCGGUUUUGUAAGUCUGUCGUGAAAGCCCCGGGCUCAACCUGGGAAUUGCGAUGGAGACUGCAAGGCUUGAAUCUGGCAGAGGGGGGUAGAAUUCCACGUGUAGCAGUGAAAUGCGUAGGGAUGUGGAGGAACACCGAUGGCGAAGGCAGCCCCCUGGGUCAAGAUUGACGCUCAUGCACGAAAGCGUGGGGAGCAAACAGG